AUUGAACGCUGGCGGCAGGCUUAACACAUGCAAGUCGAGCGGAGCGAGGGUGCUUGCACCUUAGCUUAGCGGCGGACGGGUGAGUAAUGCUUAGGAAUCUGCCUAUUAGUGGGGGACAACAUUCCGAAAGGGAUGCUAAUACCGCAUACGCCCUACGGGGGAAAGCAGGGGAUCUUCGGACCUUGCGCUAAUAGAUGAGCCUAAGUCGGAUUAGCUAGUUGGUGGGGUAAAGGCCUACCAAGGCGACGAUCUGUAGCGGGUCUGAGAGGAUGAUCCGCCACACUGGGACUGAGACACGGCCCAGACUCCAACGGGAGGCAGCAGUGGGGAAUAUUGGACAAUGGGCGGAAGCCUGAUACAGCCAUGCCGCGUGUGUGAAGAAGGCCUUUUGGUUGUAAAGCACUUUAAGCGAGGAGGAGGCUACUAGUAUUAAUACUACUGGAUAGUGGACGUUACUCGCAGAAUAAGCACCGGCUAACUCUGUGCCAGCCGCCGCUGUAA
Molecule: ribosomal RNA, 501 nt
Filed under: uncultured bacterium
Lineage: Bacteria
Description: partial 16S ribosomal RNA
Rfam family: Bacterial small subunit ribosomal RNA
Source: RNAcentral